CUAAACCACCACCACCUCACCACAGCUUCCUUUUUACUUGUCAUGUUUUUAGUCAGAGAUAAUCAGCCCAUGACCUGGGGGUCUUGAUAUGUGAUCUACACAAUGCUAACAUACAGAAGAGGCAGCCACGUUUGGAGGCCCUAUGAUGUCCUGGGUGCCUGUUCUGAGCAGCGUGUUCACGUGUGCUGUCUCAUCGUUCUUCUCAACUGCAGGGAGGCUUGGAGGUGAAGAGAUAUGCAGCCGUGUCACAUGGUGUCAUAAGUGGUGGAAUGAGAUGACCCCAAAGCCCUGCUCUGAUUACCAGAUUCCCUUUGCCCCAGCACCAAAGCAGAGGAGACCCAGAAGGAUAAGCCAGAGCAUUGGAGAGCUGGGUUCCCACCCCAACAGUAAGGGCUGUUGUGAGGAUUAAAUGACGCCGUGCAGAUGAAGCAAUGGCACCUACCAAGCACUGACAAGAGGGUCACCACUGGGCCCCCAGGGGGCUCUCUGGGGCAGACCUCCGCUCCAGGCCACUCGGACACCUUGUCGCCCAAGCCUGCAGGGCUCGCUGCAGCUCCCGGCCUUUGUCCAGCUGGGUUCCCUGGGUCGCAAGGGCCUGCACAGAGACCCGGCCGCACUCUUCCCACGGGAGGCCUUUCCAUCCUCACUGUCUCCGCCAGGCCCCCAGCCCUGCGUGUGUUUUCUCUCUGUAAUGCUCCCUGGUGCUCUAUGGUGUGUGUACCACAUGCUCAACACUGCUGGGGGCUGGGCUCUUCCUGUUGCCCCCGUUCUGCCCGCAGCUGGACAAGGCAGCCGCCCUCUCACUCAUCACAGGUGGAAACCCAAGUCGGAGCCUGCAGGUUCCUGACCACCCAGCAGUGGGGGCUGGGCUCACCUUCGAUCCUGACUCUUGCCCCAGCACUUUCUGCUCAGGGCUGCCCACUUGGGCCUUCUGAUAAAGGAAGAGAAUGAAGGAGGCCGAGGGAGCAGACCCAGCUCUGAGGAAGCAGACACCCAGUGAAUCCUAAAAGGAAUCAACCCUGAUUAUUCAUUGGAAGGACUGACUGAUGCUGUAGAUGAAGCUUUGAUACUUUGGCCACCUGGUACAAAGAGCCGACUCACUGGAAAAGUCCCUGAUGCUGGGAAAGAUUGAAGGCAGGAGGAGAAGGGGAUGACAGAGGACAAGAUGGUUGGAUGUCAUCACUGACUCAAUGGAAAUGAGUUUGAGCAGGCUCUGGGAGCUGGUGAUAAACAGGAAGGCCUGGCGUGCUGCAUUCCAUGGGGUUGCAAAGAGUCUGACAUGACUGCGCGACUGAACAACAAUCAGGCC
RNAcentral lists this long non-coding RNA (1309 nucleotides) under Bos indicus x Bos taurus (hybrid cattle). Its description in RNAcentral is "lncRNA (ENSBIXG00005030045.1)". Lineage: Eukaryota; Metazoa; Chordata; Mammalia; Artiodactyla; Bovidae. The record is from RNAcentral.